UACGUAGGGGGCAAGCGUUGUCCGGAUUUAUUGGGCGUAAAGAGCGUGUAGGCGGCCAGGUAGGUCCGUUGUGAAAACUCGAGGCUCAACCUCGAGACGUCGGCGGAAACCCUCUGGCUAGAGUCCGGAAGAGGAGAGUGGAAUUCCUGGUGUAGCGGUGAAAUGCGCAGAUAUCAGGAGGAACACCGGUGGCGAAGGCGGCUAUCUGGACAGAGUCUGACGCUGAGGCGCGAAAGCUAGGGGAGCAAACAGG
Molecule: ribosomal RNA, 253 nt
Filed under: uncultured bacterium
Lineage: Bacteria
Description: partial 16S ribosomal RNA
Rfam family: Bacterial small subunit ribosomal RNA
Source: RNAcentral